CGGGAUAUAGCACAGCUUGGUAGUGCGCUUGGUUCGGGACCAAGAGGUCGUGGGUUCAAAUCCCACUAUUCCGACCA
This 77-nucleotide transfer RNA is filed under the name Coprobacillus sp. CAG:826. RNAcentral's name for it is "transfer RNA-Pro(CGG)". It matches the Rfam family "tRNA". From Rfam's summary of the family: Transfer RNA (tRNA) molecules are approximately 80 nucleotides in length. Their secondary structure includes four short double-helical elements and three loops (D, anti-codon, and T loops). The record is from RNAcentral. Lineage: Bacteria; Bacillati; Bacillota; Erysipelotrichia; Erysipelotrichales; Coprobacillaceae.